AUACGGAGGAUGCGAGCGUUAUCCGGAUUUAUUAGGUUUAAAGGGUGUGUAGGCGGUAUUUUAAGUCAGUGGUGAAAUCUUUCAGCUUAACUGAGAAACUGCCAUUGAUACUGGAAUACUUGAGUAUAGUUGAGGUAGGCGGAAUAUGUAAUGUAGCGGUGAAAUGCAUAGAUAUUACAUAGAACACCGAUUGCGAAGGCAGCUUACUAAACUAUUACUGACGCUGAUGCACGAAAGCGUGGGGAGCGAACAGGAUUAGAUACCCUAGUAGUCC
RNAcentral lists this ribosomal RNA (274 nucleotides) under uncultured bacterium. RNAcentral's name for it is "partial 16S ribosomal RNA". It matches the Rfam family "Bacterial small subunit ribosomal RNA", at positions 523 to 796 of the family's 1533-position model. The record is from RNAcentral.